This 98-nucleotide small nucleolar RNA is filed under the name Arabidopsis suecica. RNAcentral describes it as "snoR27". It matches the Rfam family "Small nucleolar RNA snoR27". Lineage: Eukaryota; Viridiplantae; Streptophyta; Magnoliopsida; Brassicales; Brassicaceae. The record is from RNAcentral.
AUUGGAUCGAUGAUUGAUUAGUUUAAAUACUGCGUUAUCUUUCUGCAAAUCUCCUAUAAAGGAUUUGAAGAUAAACCAUGAAAAACCUGAGAUCCAAU